GACGAACGCUGGCGGCGUGCCUAAUACAUGCAAGUCGAGCGGACUUUCAAGAAGCUUGCUUUUUGAAAGUUAGCGGCGGACGGGUGAGUAACACGUGGGCAACCUGCCUGCAAGACGGGGAUAACUCCGGGAAACCGGGGCUAAUACCGGAUAAUAUCUUCCUUCGCAUGAAGGAAGGUUGAAAGGCGGCACAAGCUGCCGCUUGCAGAUGGGCCCGCGGCGCAUUAGCUAGUUGGUGAGGUAACGGCUCACCAAGGCGACGAUGCGUAGCCGACCUGAGAGGGUGAUCGGCCACACUGGGACUGAGACACGGCCCAGACUCCUACGGGAGGCAGCAGUAGGGAAUCUUCCGCAAUGGACGAAAGUCUGACGGAGCAACGCCGCGUGAGCGAAGAAGGUCUUCGGAUCGUAAAGCUCUGUUGUCAGGGAAGAACAAGUACCGUUCGAACAGGGCGGUACCUUGACGGUACCUGACCAGAAAGCCACGGCUAACUACGUG
Molecule: ribosomal RNA, 499 nt
Filed under: uncultured bacterium
Lineage: Bacteria
Description: partial 16S ribosomal RNA
Rfam family: Bacterial small subunit ribosomal RNA
Source: RNAcentral